AACGCGAAGAACCUUACCUGGCCUUGACAUCCACGGAAUUCGGCAGAGAUGCCCUAGUGCCUUCGGGAACCGUGAGACAGGUGCUGCAUGGCUGUCGUCAGCUCGUGUUGUGAAAUGUUGGGUUAAGUCCCGCAACGAGCGCAACCCUUAUCCUUUGUUGCCAGCGAUUCGGUCGGGAACUCAAAGGAGACUGCCGGUGAUAAACUGGAGGAAGGUGGGGAUGACGUCAAGUCAUCAUGGCCCUUACGACCAGGGCUACACACGUGCUACAAUGGCGCAUACAAAGAGAAGCAAACUCGCGAGAGCCAGCGGACCUCAUAAAGUGCGUCGUAGUCCGGAUCGGAGUCUGCAACUCGACUCCGUGAAGUCGGAAUCGCUAGUAAUCGUGGAUCAGAAUGCCACGGUGAAUACGUUCCCGGGCCUUGUACACACCG
RNAcentral lists this ribosomal RNA (434 nucleotides) under uncultured bacterium. RNAcentral's name for it is "bacterial SSU rRNA". It matches the Rfam family "Bacterial small subunit ribosomal RNA", at positions 958 to 1392 of the family's 1533-position model. The record is from RNAcentral.